This 397-nucleotide long non-coding RNA is filed under the name Eucalyptus grandis. RNAcentral's name for it is "long non-coding RNA (EGRA_LNC000271)". Lineage: Eukaryota; Viridiplantae; Streptophyta; Magnoliopsida; Myrtales; Myrtaceae. The record is from RNAcentral.
CUUGCAAAAUCAUUUACUGAAGUACUUUCUCAUGCAUAUUGUGUUUCCUCGAGUUUUUUCUUAUUUUGGGUUAAGAGACUCUAUAGUCUGUACGUAAUAUUAAGCUAGGAAAAUAUAAUACUAUUGCAUUCCGUACAAAAAACAACUAUAGGUUUUCCGUGCAAAUUGAAAAUUUGGGCCUAGUUGCCAAAACGCCACUCCUCAAUUAGAUCAAAAUAUACCACGAGCGCACGACAUUCCUCUUUGUGAUGAUGAACUUACUUGUAAGGGCGGAUGAAGGGAUUUAUGAUAGGAGGGAAACCGAAAGGAGGGAAACCGAAAGGAGGUGCUGUAGGGAAACCGAAAGGAGGUGCUGUGAUGGAAGGGAAGCUCGGAGUGCCGGGAUCGAUGGGAGUGG